AUUAUAUUUCAUCUAGUUUCACCAUGAUAAUGGUGAACUAAACCCUAGGUUGUUGGAGAACAAUGUAAUCUUUUGAAACUCUCUUAUAUCAAAAUUCUUAUCUUCUUUAUAUGCUUGCAUAUGCUUAUCUUUAUCAAUUGUUGGGUUUCUUACCUUUGCUUAAUGCUUUUAUCGUUUAACUCAUUCGGUAAAUGUUGUUUGUCUUUAUCGAUA
RNAcentral lists this long non-coding RNA (213 nucleotides) under Vigna radiata. RNAcentral describes it as "long non-coding RNA (VRAD_LNC018146)". The record is from RNAcentral. Lineage: Eukaryota; Viridiplantae; Streptophyta; Magnoliopsida; Fabales; Fabaceae.